RNAcentral lists this ribosomal RNA (300 nucleotides) under uncultured Anaerolineaceae bacterium. Its description in RNAcentral is "bacterial SSU rRNA". It matches the Rfam family "Bacterial small subunit ribosomal RNA", at positions 1066 to 1382 of the family's 1533-position model. Lineage: Bacteria; Bacillati; Chloroflexota; Anaerolineae; Anaerolineales; Anaerolineaceae. The record is from RNAcentral.
CGUGAGAUGUUCGGUUAAGUCGCUAACGAGCGCAACCUCGCUGUGUGUUACAAGUGUCACACGGAACUGCCGGUCAUAAACCGGAGAAGGUGGGAUGACGUCAAGUCAGCAUGGCCUUUAUAUCCUGGGCUACACACACGCUACAAUGGGAAGGGACAAUAGGUUGCGAAACCGCGAGGUGGAGCCAAUCCAGCAAAACUUCCCUCAGUUCAGAUUGCAGGCUGCAACUCGCCUGCAUGAAGUUGGAGUUGCUAGUAAACGCAGGUCAGCCAUACUGCGUUGAAUACGUUCCCGGGGCUU